UUUAGAGUUUGAUCCAUGGCUCAGAGUUAACGCUGGCGGCGUGCCUAACACAUGCAAGUCGAGCGGGAUACCGGGUGUAGCAAUACAUCUGGUAUCUAGCGGCAGACGGGUGAGUAACACGUGAGUCAUCUACCCUUAAGUGGAGGAUAACCGGCCGAAAGGUCGGCUAAUACUACAUAGUUCCCUACCGCAAGGUAUGGAUAAAGUCGUAAGACGCUUAAGGAGGAGCUCGCGGCCUAUCAGCUAGUUGGCGGGGUAACGGCCCACCGAGGCUAUGACGGGUAGCCGGCCUGAAAGGGCGAACGGCCACAGGGGCACUGCGACACGGGCCCCACUCCUACGGGAGGCAGCAGUGAGGAAUUUUGGUCAAUGGGCGAAAGCCUGAACCAGCAACGCCGCGUGGGGGAUGAAGUCUUUCGGGAUGUAAACCCCUUUUCACCUUGAAGAACACUGACGGAAAGGGGAAUAAGCAACGCA
This 477-nucleotide ribosomal RNA is filed under the name uncultured bacterium. RNAcentral describes it as "bacterial SSU rRNA". It matches the Rfam family "Bacterial small subunit ribosomal RNA", at positions 1 to 497 of the family's 1533-position model. The record is from RNAcentral.